UCUCUUUCUCUCUUUCUCUCUUUCUCUCUCUCUCUCUCUCUCUCUCUCUCUCUCUCUCUCUCUCUCUCUCUCUCUCUCUCUCUCUCUCUCUCUCUCUCUCUCUCUCUCUCUCUCUCUCUCUCUCUGAGAGAGAGAGAAGAGCGAGAGGGAGAGAAAAUGAAAAUGAAUUAUCCGAUUGAAUGAUUGUUUCUCCAUUGCUCUAUCUAUCUAUUACAUUGAAAAUACUUCUGUAAUGAGAGUCAGCUGUGCGAAGAGGGAGGGAGAUAAAAAAAAGAAGAAGAAAUAUUAGACGCAAAAUAAGAUAAAUAUGGGAAGAGGGCAUUGCAAGACGGGAAAUUGGAAGGACGUAAGAUGAGGUAGAAAUAUAUGGGAUAUGGUAAUGAGAUAUUAAAAGUUGAUUUAAUAGAAAUGUAUGUGAUGUGAUAAAGUAUGUGAUGUGAUAAAGAUAUUAAAAGUUGGUUUAAUAGAAAUGUAUGUGAUAUGAUAAAGUAUGUGAUAUGAUAUUAAAAGUUGGUUUAAGAUAAAGGAUGGCAUUGUGUUAUAAAUAGACGAAACGAGGAGAGAUGAGAAAUGAGAAGAGAAAAACAAAAACAAGAACAAAGAAAAGUGAGACAGAGUGGUAUGAGAAGAGACAAGAUGAGACGAGACGGAAAGAGAAGAGGAGAGAA
Penaeus indicus is the source of this 668-nucleotide long non-coding RNA. RefSeq lists it as uncharacterized. NCBI's taxonomy places the organism in Eukaryota, Metazoa, Arthropoda, Malacostraca, Decapoda, Penaeidae. The record is from RefSeq and is a predicted model, not a curated record. The transcript has 2 exons.